CCUACGGGUGACAGCCGUGAGGAAUAUUGGUCAAUGGACGAGAGUCUGAACCAGCCAAGUAGCGUGAAGGAUGACUGCCCUAUGGGUUGUAAACUUCUUUUAUAUGGGAAUAAAAUGUUCCACGUGUGGGAUUUUGUAUGUACCAUAUGAAUAAGGAUCGGCUAACUCCGUGCCAGCAGCCGCGGUAAUACGGAGGAUCCGAGCGUUAUCCGGAUUUAUUGGGUUUAAAGGGAGCGUAGGUGGAUUGUUAAGGCAGUUGUGAAAGUUUGCGGCUCAACCGUAAAAUUGAAGUUGAAACUGGCAGUCGUGAGUACAGUAGAGGUGGGCGGAAUUCGUGGUGUAGCGGGGAAAUGCUUAGAUAUCACGAAGAACUCCGAUUGCGAAGGCAGUUCACUGGACUGCAACUGACACUGAGGCUCGAAAGUGUGGGUAUCAAACAGGAGUAGAGACCCGGGUAGGC
This 460-nucleotide ribosomal RNA is filed under the name uncultured bacterium. RNAcentral's name for it is "partial 16S ribosomal RNA". It matches the Rfam family "Bacterial small subunit ribosomal RNA", at positions 338 to 795 of the family's 1533-position model. The record is from RNAcentral.